RNAcentral lists this non-coding RNA (163 nucleotides) under Toxoplasma gondii VEG. Its description in RNAcentral is "Bacterial large subunit ribosomal RNA". It matches the Rfam family "Bacterial large subunit ribosomal RNA", at positions 2473 to 2632 of the family's 2925-position model. Lineage: Eukaryota; Apicomplexa; Conoidasida; Eucoccidiorida; Sarcocystidae. RNAcentral also lists the same sequence under 1 other name. The record is from Rfam by way of RNAcentral.
GAUAACAGGCCAGACAGCAUUGGGAGUUCUGAUCCUCGAUUUUGUAUCAGUACCUCCAUGACGGCUCAUUACUCCCUUGGUAUUGAACAAGAUUCAGUUAGGAACGAUAGUUCACCUUCAGAUGUAAUACGCGAGCUGGUUUAAGAACGUUUGGAGACAGUUU